CCACUCUUCUUCAUCCACAUACAUGAUCAAUCCUCCAUUCAAUAUUAUUAUUCUAACAAUCAUCAAGAAUCUAUUUUACCCUAUUUUGUUUAUGAGAUUUACUGCAAAUUCUUCAAGGAAUUGACUAGAACUAUGUAUCAGAAGCUAUGAGCUAUGUCAGUAUCAAAGUCGGAGCCUGUGUCAGAUCUUAUGAGGUAAGGAGGAACAAUUAUUUUCUGCGUUUUUAAACUUAAAAAGCAGAAUAUUAUGGAAUAUUUUCAGAGAGGAUAGAGGUAGGAAGAACGACAAAGAUGAUGAUAGUUGAAGAAGUUAAGGGAUAAGAAAUAAUUUCAAUGAAGAAAUGAAAGUGGAAAAUUUCCGAAAUAGAGUUUGAUGGGAUAACAAGGCAAAUUUUGUAUAUAAUAUCU
RNAcentral lists this small RNA (407 nucleotides) under Histoplasma capsulatum var. duboisii H88. RNAcentral describes it as "Histoplasma capsulatum H88 hypothetical RNA". The record is from RNAcentral. Lineage: Eukaryota; Fungi; Ascomycota; Eurotiomycetes; Onygenales; Ajellomycetaceae.